AUGCAAUCCUUUAAAGCAGGAUAUACUUGUAGAUUCUGCAAGGCUACACAAGACCAAAUUCAGUCUCUUGAAGUCAGAGAUGGUGAAUUUAGUCCAAGGACUAAAGCCAGUCAUGACUGUGAUGUGCAGGAUGUUACACAUGAGGGUGGUCAAAGCCAGUGUGGUGUCAAAGGGGACUGUAUCUUGAAAGAGAAGUUGCAGUACUUUCAUACCAUCACUGGUUUCCCACCUGAUGUCUUGCAUGAUCUUUUUGAGGGUAUUGUACCUGUUGAGUUGGCCCUAUGUAUUAAGGAGAUGAUUCGGCUCAAAUAUUUUACUCUUGAGUAUUUGAACUGGAAAAUUGUGUCAUUCCCGUACCAACACACAGAUAAGAUUGAUAAACCACGAUCUAUUUCAAAGAACUUUGCUGCAAAGAGGACCAUUGGUGGCAAUGGCCACGAAAAUAGCACAUUGCUGAGACUACUCCCAUUGAUGAUUGGUAAUACAGUCCCUGAGGGAGAUGGUGCUUGGACUGUAUUGAUGGAUUUGAAAGAUGUUGUGGAGCUUGUGCUGUCCCCAACAUUUGUUGACGCAUCUAUCCAGUAUUUGCAGACAAAGAUACAGGAUCACAGGCACAUGCUUCAGGAGGUUUUCCCAGAGUUCACACUGCUCCCUAAACAUCAUUAUGUUGAACACUACCCAGAUCUCAUACAGUGUUUUGGGCCUCUUGUCCAUUUGUGGACUAUGCGGUUUGAGGGCAAACACUGCUUUUUCAAGCGUGUAGUACAUGACACACAAAAUUUUAAAAAUGUUUUGAAAACACUAGCAACUAGGCAUCAGCACAUGAUGGGCUACUAUCUCAGUGCACCAUCAUUCUUUAAACCACAUCAGCAGACAUCAAAUGUCUCCUCUGUCUUGGUUUCAGAGCUUCCGGAGGUUGCAAAAGAACACAUUAAGCAAAAAACAGACAGCAACCUGAUUUACAGCACAUCAAAAAUCAUUAUUGAUGGUACUGAUUAUGAUGUUGGGAUGUUUGUAUCUGUGGGGCAAGAGGGGGGACUGCCUCAGUUUAGCAAAAUACAGCAGAUCCUCCUUGUUAACAAUGAUGUCACCUUUCUUUGCCAAAGACACAAAUCACAGUACAUUGAACACCUGAGAUCAUAUGAACUUUACCCAGGCAAUAUAACUGUCCAAAGUGUAUCAGAGCUCAAUGACAACUCACCCCUCUCUGCAUACAGUGUAGAAGGAAAAUUGCUGUUGUCGCCCAAACGAUUCAUACUGUUGCACUGA
This is a long non-coding RNA of Cyprinus carpio (common carp), 1269 nucleotides long. Lineage: Eukaryota; Metazoa; Chordata; Actinopteri; Cypriniformes; Cyprinidae. The record is from Ensembl.